UCGCUGUUUGGAAAGAUUUUUCGGUCUGGGAUGGGCUCGCGGCCUAUCAGCUUGUUGGUGAGGUAAUGGCUCACCAAGGCGUCGACGGGUAGCCGGCCUGAGAGGGUGACCGGCCACACUGGGACUGAGACACGGCCCAGACUCCUACGGGAGGCAGCAGUGGGGAAUAUUGCACAAUGGGCGGAAGCCUGAUGCAGCAACGCCGCGUGAGGGAUGACGGCCUUCGGGUUGUAAACCUCUUUUAGCAGGGAAGAAGCGAAAGUGACGGUACCUGCAGAAAAAGCGCCGGCUAACUACGUGCCAGCAGCCGCGGUAAUACGUAGGGCGCAAGCGUUAUCCGGAAUUAUUGGGCGUAAAGAGCUCGUAGGCGGUUUGUCGCGUCUGCUGUGAAAUCCCGAGGCUCAACCUCGGGCCUGCAGUGGGUACGGGCAGACUAGAGUGCGGUAGGGGAGAUUGGAAUUCCUGGUGUAGCGGUGGAAUGCGCAGAUAUCAGGAGGAACACCGAUGGCGAAGGCAGAUCUCUGGGCCGUAACUGACGCUGAGGAGCGAAAGGGUGGGGAGCAAACAGGCUUAGAUACCCUGGUAGUCCACCCCGUAAACGUUGGGAACUAGUUGUGGGGACCAUUCCACGGUUUCCGUGACGCAGCUAACGCAUUAAGUUCCCCGCCUGGGGAGUACGGCCGCAAGGCUAAAACUCAAAGGAAUUGACGGGGACCCGCACAAGCGGCGGAGCAUGCGGAUUAAUUCGAUGCAACGCGAAGAACCUUACCAAGGCUUGACAUAUACGAGAACGGGCCAGAAAUGGUCAACUCUUUGGACACUCGUAAACAGGUGGUGCAUGGUUGUCGUCAGCUCGUGUCGUGAGAUGUUGGGUUAAGUCCCGCAACGAGCGCAACCCUCGUUCUAUGUUGCCAGCACGUAAUGGUGGGAACUCAUGGGAUACUGCCGGGGUCAACUCGGAGGAAGGUGGGGAUGACGUCAAAUCAUCAUGCCCCUUAUGUCUUGGGCUUCACGCAUGCUACAAUGGCCGGUACAAAGGGCUGCAAUACCGUGAGGUGGAGCGAAUCCCAAAAAGCCGGUCCCAGUUCGGAUUGAGGGUUCUGCAACUCGACCUCAUGAAGUCGGAGUCGCUAGUAAUCGCAGAUC
This 1146-nucleotide ribosomal RNA is filed under the name Microbacterium testaceum. Its description in RNAcentral is "bacterial SSU rRNA". It matches the Rfam family "Bacterial small subunit ribosomal RNA", at positions 192 to 1350 of the family's 1533-position model. The record is from RNAcentral. Lineage: Bacteria; Bacillati; Actinomycetota; Actinomycetes; Micrococcales; Microbacteriaceae.